Molecule: long non-coding RNA, 4041 nt
Organism: Bos taurus (domestic cattle)
Lineage: Eukaryota; Metazoa; Chordata; Mammalia; Artiodactyla; Bovidae
Source: Ensembl
ACGAGGGUAAGCCCCCUCUGCAUGUGUGACCUGUGCCUCCUAGGAGAGCAGCUUUAAGCUGAUUUAAACUUGGCCAAGUUUAAAUUAAAUCUACCAUUUAUGUGGUAGAUUUAGACUUCUCUACACUGAUGAUGUUUAGACAUGGCCAUGUACUUUCUACAAUGAGAACAUUUAGACCUGACCCUGUUCUGUGCGCUUGUACUGGAGACCUGGGUAGGACCUGGACUGCCUCUGUCCUGGAAAACUCCAUGCCUGCGUCUGAAUGUCAGCCCUCAGAUGUCUGGGGUCUGGAGCUGAGGUGGCUGCUCUGGGCAACGUGCUGUUCUCUGAGGGGGUUCCGUGGCCCUCCCGGGGUUGGGACUGCAGUGGGCUCUGAGUCUCUCCCCCUGCCAGGUUCCCCCUCCCUGGGGCAUGGAGGCUCCUCAGGUGGGCUACCUGGUAAUUAUUCCAAUUUUCCAGCACAUUUGGGUUGAGUAGGGAGGCAGGUUCACCUGCUGAGCUGAUUCCAGGGAUCGGGCAAGAAGUCAAUGGGCAGCAGGUGAGGUUGCCGCUGUGAUCUCCUUCUGGUCGACUCUCCUCAGAAGAGAACAGGGCUGCUCCCUGUCCUUCAGCCCAGCUCUCCUGUUUUCUCAUCAUCUCAGCAGGACAGGAAAGACAGAACCUGCCAGAACCAAGAAUGAACAUGGUGAGAAGAGAGGCAGGCACAUGGUGGAUUGACUGCAGGGCAUGUGGAUCAGGCAAAAAGCCAGUGGGAUCAGGUGAGGUUGCUGCCGUGACCUCCUUCAGGUCGACCGUCCUACUCAGCAGAGACCAGACCUGCCCCUCGUCUUCCAGCCCUGCGUCUGGUGUGUUUUCUCAGCUCCUCAGCGGGACAAGAAAGGAUCGAGCCUGCCAGAACCAAGGACUGGAGACCUGGGUAGGACCUGGCCUGCCUCUGUCCUGGAAAACUGCGCCUUCGUCUGAAUGUCAGCGCUCAGAUGUCUGGGGUCUGGAGCUGAGGUGGCUGCUCUGGGCAGCGUGCUCUUCUCUGAGGGGGCUCCGUGGCCCUCCCGGGGUUGGGGCUGCGGUGGGCUCUGAGUCUCUCCCCCUGCCAGGUUCCCCCUCCCUGGGGCAUGGAGGCACCUCAGGUGGGCUACCUGGUAAUCAUUCCAAUUUUCCAGCACAUUCAGGUUGAGUAGGGAGGCAGGUUCACCUGCUGAGCUGAUUCCAGGGAUCGGGCAAGAAGUCAAUGGGCAGCAGGUGAGGUUGCCGCUGUGAUCUCCUUCCCGGUCGACUCUCCUCAGAAGAGAACAGGGCUGCUCCCCGUCCUUCAGCCCAGCUCUCCUGUUUCCUUUACACCUCAGUGGGACAGGAAAGACAGAGCCUGCCAGAACCAAGACUCAUCCCAGCCUGGGCCACAACCCCUGCUAAGGUGCCUAGGAGGCUGCACUCUCAGGAUGGAGACUUGAACUGGGGACCCCAUCACCAGGACCCCUGGCGACUAGAGGUGAUUGCAGAAGAUAGAGAAAAAUUCCCUGGGCUGAUCUUCAGAUCCUUGUGCAGUAUCUAUCAGAGAUACUGAUUUUAUGUGAAUGUCAAAGGAAGGAGGAAUGAAUUCUUGUGGAUUAUCUAUACAUAUACAGAUUUUGGUGUAUAUGUUGGAGUAAUGGAUUUCUUUAUGUAUGUUAAUCCCAAUCUCCUGCAUAUCAUACUGGCCUUUUUUUUUUUUUUAAAUAAUUCUUUGUGUUUGAUUUUUCAAAGGCUCCUUUUGUGUUGUAAAUUAGUUCCUUUUUUAUCUCGUUUUAAUUUUGCCUGGAAUGUUAUCUGCUAGUUUCUUUCUUUGUCUAGUGGAUUUCACUUAGCAUGUGAUCCUUCAAGGUCCAACCUUGUAGAGAAGAGUGGAAAAUACCAUAAUUUCAGUAAUGCUUUUUAUGACUGAGUAAUAGUCCACUGUAUAUAUGUACCACAUCUUGUUUAAGCUUUAGCUGUGGGUAGAAAUUUUGUGGUUACUGCCUUGCCUAUUGGAAGCUGUGCUACAGUGAACAGUGGGGUGCAUGUUUCUCUAUGAAUGGUGGUUUUCUUGGGAUUUAGAACUGCUCAUGUUGUACCUUGAAGCUUCCAGGCAUAUGCUCGCUUUGUGAACAAAUAUGAGGCCUCUGCUUAGAGGUUCAGCUCGUUUAUAACUAUGAGGUCUGUAGGUAGACUCUCAGCUCGUGGACAACAAUGAUGCUUUAUUCAGACUGUCAGCUCAUGUGUAAGUUUGAGGCCUCUAGGCACACCCUCAGAUCAUCUGUCCAAUGAGGCUUCUAGGCAGAAGUUCAGCUUGUGUAUUACGAUGAGGCCACUAGGCAUAUCCUCAGCUCGUGUAUAAAUACGAGGCCACAGAGAAGAUGCUAAGAUGGUGUAUAACUAUGAGGCCUCUCGGCAGAUGCUCAGCUUGUGUACAACUGUGAGGACUCAGGCUGGUGCUCAGCUCCUGUAUAACUAUGAGGCCUCUGGGCAGACGCUCAGCCGGUAUAUAACUCAGAGGCCUCAAACAGGUGCUCAGCUUGAGUAUAACUAUGAGUUCUCUAGGCAGAAGCUCAGCUCCUCUGAGGCCUCUAGGCAGACUCUCAGAUCCUGUGAGCCAAUGAGGCUUCUAGGCAGAUGUUCAGCAUUUGCAUAACUAUCAGGCCUCUAGUAGAUGCUCAGCUUAUGUUUAACUAUGAGGCCUCUAGACAGGUGCUCAGAUCCUGUGGGCCUAUGAGGCCUUUAGGCAGAUGCUCAGUUCGUGUGUGUCUGUCUGCUCAGCUCGUGUAUAUGAGGACUCAGGUGAGACGCUCAGCUCCUGUGUUUCUAUGAGGGCUCUAGGUAGAUGCUCAGCUCAUGUCUGUCUAGAGGCCUCAGACAGACUCUCACUUGUGAAUAAAAUGAGCUGUCUAGGCAGACGCUCAUCUCUUGUGGGCUUACGAGGCCUCCAGAAGCUCUCAUGUGCCUGUCUGGAGCUUCAAGGAAGAUGCUCAGCUCCUGUAUAACUAAGAGGCCUGAGGGCAGACUCUCAGCUGGUGUAUAACUCAGAGGCCUCUAGGGAGACACUCAUCUUCUGUGUUCCUAUGAGGCCUCUAGACAGGUGUGCACCUCAUGUCUGUCAGGAGGCCUCAAGGCAGAUCUCCACACAAUAGUGCUUAUGAGGACUCUAGGCAAACUCUCAACUUGCGUACAACUAUGAGGCCUCUAGGCAGACGCCCAACUCCUAUGGGCUUAUGAGGCCUCUAGGCAGAUCUCAGCUCCUAUGGGCCUAUAAGGUCUUUAGGCAGAUGCUCAGCCUGUGAGGCCUCUAGGCAGAAACUCAGCUCCUCUUUCCUGUGAGGCUUCUAGACAGACACUCAGCUCCUGUGUUCCCAUGAGGCCUCUAGCCAGAUGCUUAGCUCUUGUAGGCCAAGAGACCUCUAGGCAGAUGUUCAAUUCCUGUGGGGCUGUGAGUCCUCUAGGCAGACACUCAGCUUCUGUGGGCCUAGAGGCGUCUAUGCAGAUGCUCAACUCCUGUUUUCCUAUGAGGCCUCUAGACAGAGGCUCAGCUUGUGCCUGUCUAGAGACCUCAAGGCAGAUGCUCGGCUCCUGUUGUCCUGUAAGGCCUCUAGGCAGACACUCAACUCCUGUGGAACCGUGAGGGCUCUAGACAGAUGCUCAGCUCCUGUCUUACUAGGAGGCCUUUAGGCAGAAGCUGAGCUCGUUUAUAGCUAUACGGCUUCUAGUAAGACAUCUUUUGUGCGCCUGUGGGGCCUCUAGGCUUUCACUCGGCUGGUGUUCCAAGGAAGCCCCUAGGCAGACGCUCACCUUGUGUGUAGCUAUGAGGCCCUGUGCAGACACUCAGCUCCUGGGUCUGUGGGCCUCUUGGUGACUCUCCAGUUGCGUAUGUUAUGAAGCCUCUCUCAGCUCCUUUGCAUCCAGUGUCCUAUUAAAUUGAUUAUCAGUUAACACCUAGGUAUACUAUGUCUGAUCUAUCUAUAUUCUGUAGUAACAAAUUAUUCAAAAUACCUGAAUGUGAAUCUAUAUAUGUAUAUUUAAAGUUAAAUAAACACU